This 253-nucleotide unclassified non-coding RNA is filed under the name Candidatus Nomurabacteria bacterium. RNAcentral describes it as "contains 16S-23S intergenic spacer region". It matches the Rfam family "Bacterial small subunit ribosomal RNA", at positions 524 to 776 of the family's 1533-position model. Lineage: Bacteria; Candidatus Nomuraibacteriota. The record is from RNAcentral.
UACGAGAGCCUCGAGCGUUAUCCGGAUUUAUUGGGCGUAAAGGGUGCGUAGGUUGCAUUGUUAGUCUCUUGUUAAAGCCCCGGGCUCAACUCGGGAAUCGCAAGGGAAACGGCAAUGCUAGAGAGUGUGAGGGGUGUACGGAACUCUAGGUGUAGGGGUGAAAUCCGUUGAUAUCUAGGGGAACACCAAAAGCGAAGGCAGUACACUGGCACAUUUCUGACACUGAGGCACGAAAGCGUGGGUAGCGAAUGGG